RNAcentral lists this unclassified non-coding RNA (157 nucleotides) under Ampelomyces humuli. RNAcentral's name for it is "ITS2". The record is from RNAcentral. Lineage: Eukaryota; Fungi; Ascomycota; Dothideomycetes; Pleosporales; Phaeosphaeriaceae.
GUACCUUCAAGCUCUGCUUGGUGUUGGGUGGUUGUCUCGCCUCUGCGUGUAGACUCGCCUUAAAACAAUUGGCAGCCGGCGUAUUGAUUUCGGAGCGCAGUACAUCUCGCGCUUUGCACUCAUAACGACGACGUCCAAAAGUACAUUUUUUACACUC